GACGAACGCUGGCGGCGUGCCUAAUGCAUGCAAGUCGAGCGGGCUACGAUCUUCGGAUUGUAGCUUAGCGGCGAACGGGUGAGUAACACGUAGGUAAUCUACCCUUCAGAGGAGGACAACCUCAGGAAACUGAGGCUAAACCUUCAUACGUUCACUGGUAGGGAUACUGGUGAAGAAAGAGUUACCUUAGUGGUAGCUGCUGAAGGAUGAGCCUGCGGCCCAUCAGGUAGUUGGUGAGGUAACGGCUCACCAAGCCGAAGACGGGUAACCGGUCUGAGAGGAUGUCCGGUCACACUGGGACUGAGACACGGCCCAGACUCCUACGGGAGGCAGCAGUGGGGAAUAUUGGACAAUGGGCGCAAGCCUGAUCCAGCAAUGCCGCGUGUGUGAAGAAGGCCUUCGGGUUGUAAGCACUUUAUCAGGACGAAAGACGUUGGAGUUAAUACUCUGACGUGCUGACGGUACCGUGAGGAAGUAAGACACCGGCUAACUUCGU
This 496-nucleotide ribosomal RNA is filed under the name uncultured bacterium. RNAcentral's name for it is "bacterial SSU rRNA". It matches the Rfam family "Bacterial small subunit ribosomal RNA", at positions 28 to 506 of the family's 1533-position model. The record is from RNAcentral.